This 549-nucleotide long non-coding RNA is filed under the name Capsella rubella. Its description in RNAcentral is "long non-coding RNA (CRUB_LNC004524)". Lineage: Eukaryota; Viridiplantae; Streptophyta; Magnoliopsida; Brassicales; Brassicaceae. The record is from RNAcentral.
CGCAUUCAAUUUCAGUGGCAUAUUUCUCUUUUACUCAAGGAUAGACAAAAAAAAAUUAUUAUUAUUAUUUUUUUUUUUGGAAACGAUUAAGGAUAGACAAUAUAAGUCAAUAUUCUUCUGCCAUGUCCUACUUUAUAUACAUAUAUAAUUUUUGUUUAUGGUUAACAAAUUUACUCUUUCCAUCCGUUAGGAAACAAAAAAAAAAGAAAAGCAAAGAGGAGUCAAAAUAGUGUUAGUUAAUAGUUUUCUCUCGAGGCUUAAUAAUGGGGAUAUAGUGAGAAGAAGAAAAUUUCAGGACAGCGUCAUCCUCAAGUAAAAUAGUGUACUACUUUUGUUUAAAUAUCUCGAUCGAGUUGCUUACCAAAAUUCUUGAACCGAUGAAAAAACUAGUUCUUCUGACUUCUCUCACAUAGAUUUUUUUUUUUUUUACUUACAAAUCAACAAAUCUAUGUACGUAGUAGGUGUAAAACUAGUUUUUGAACUAAACCAAAUUAAAUAUCGAUAUCGUACCGAUGAUUCCGAAAUUUCUAUAUACUAAAGACAUGAUAG